AUUGAACGCUGGCGGCAUGCUUUACACAUGCAAGUCGGACGGCAGCAUAAAAGAGCUUGCUCUUUUGAUGGCGAGUGGCGAACGGGUGAGUGAUGCAUCGGAACGUACCGAGUAGUGGGGGAUAACUGUCCGAAAGGAUGGCUAAUACCGCAUAUUCUCUGAGGAGGAAAGCAGGGGACCUUAGGGCCUUGCGCUAUUUGAGCGGCCGAUGUCUGAUUAGCUAGUUGGUGGGGUAAGAGCCCACCAAGGCGACGAUCAGUAGCGGGUCUGAGAGGAUGAUCCGCCACACUGGGACUGAGACACGGCCCAGACUCCUACGGGAGGCAGCAGUGGGGAAUUUUGGACAAUGGGCGCAAGCCUGAUCCAGCCAUGCCGCGUGUAUGAAGAAGGCCUUCGGGUUGUAAAGUACUUUUGUCAGGGAAGAAAGGCCUGAGGAUAACACCCUCAAGUCAUGACGGUACCUGAAGAAUAAGCACCGGCUAACUACGUGCCAGCAGCCGCGGUAAUACGUAGGGUGCGAGCGUUAAUCGGAAUUACUGGGCGUAAAGCGAGCGCAGACGGUUAUUUAAGCAAGAUGUGAAAGCCCCGGGCUCAACCUGGGAACUGCGUUUUGAACUGGGUAACUAGAGUGUGUCAGAGGGGGGUAGAAUUCCACGUGUAGCAGUGAAAUGCGUAGAGAUGUGGAGGAAUACCGAUGGCGAAGGCAGCCCCCUGGGAUAACACUGACGUUCAUGCUCGAAAGCGUGGGUAGCAAACAGG
This 759-nucleotide ribosomal RNA is filed under the name uncultured Neisseriaceae bacterium. RNAcentral's name for it is "bacterial SSU rRNA". It matches the Rfam family "Bacterial small subunit ribosomal RNA", at positions 28 to 776 of the family's 1533-position model. Lineage: Bacteria; Pseudomonadati; Pseudomonadota; Betaproteobacteria; Neisseriales; Neisseriaceae. The record is from RNAcentral.